RNAcentral lists this ribosomal RNA (586 nucleotides) under Klebsiella ornithinolytica. RNAcentral's name for it is "Raoultella ornithinolytica partial 23S ribosomal RNA". It matches the Rfam family "Bacterial large subunit ribosomal RNA", at positions 2213 to 2798 of the family's 2925-position model. Lineage: Bacteria; Pseudomonadati; Pseudomonadota; Gammaproteobacteria; Enterobacterales; Enterobacteriaceae. The record is from RNAcentral.
UUUGAUGUUCUAACGUAGACCCGUGAUCCGGGUUGCGGACAGUGUCUGGUGGGUAGUUUGACUGGGGCGGUCUCCUCCCAAAGAGUAACGGAGGAGCACGAAGGUUAGCUAAUCCUGGUCGGACAUCAGGAGGUUAGUGCAAUGGCAUAAGCUAGCUUGACUGCGAGCGUGACGGCGCGAGCAGGUGCGAAAGCAGGUCAUAGUGAUCCGGUGGUUCUGAAUGGAAGGGCCAUCGCUCAACGGAUAAAAGGUACUCCGGGGAUAACAGGCUGAUACCGCCCAAGAGUUCAUAUCGACGGCGGUGUUUGGCACCUCGAUGUCGGCUCAUCACAUCCUGGGGCUGAAGUAGGUCCCAAGGGUAUGGCUGUUCGCCAUUUAAAGUGGUACGCGAGCUGGGUUUAGAACGUCGUGAGACAGUUCGGUCCCUAUCUGCCGUGGGCGCUGGAGAAUUGAGGGGGGCUGCUCCUAGUACGAGAGGACCGGAGUGGACGCAUCACUGGUGUUCGGGUUGUCAUGCCAAUGGCAUUGCCCGGUAGCUAAAUGCGGAAAAGAUAAGUGCUGAAAGCAUCUAAGCACGAAACUUGCC